RNAcentral lists this ribosomal RNA (639 nucleotides) under Falsibacillus sp. RNAcentral's name for it is "bacterial SSU rRNA". It matches the Rfam family "Bacterial small subunit ribosomal RNA", at positions 76 to 721 of the family's 1533-position model. Lineage: Bacteria; Bacillati; Bacillota; Bacilli; Caryophanales; Bacillaceae. The record is from RNAcentral.
GAGCUUGCUCCCUGAGAUUAGCGGCGGACGGGUGAGUAACACGUGGGCAACCUGCCUAUAAGACUGGGAUAACUUCGGGAAACCGGAGCUAAUACCGGAUACGUUCUUUUCUCGCAUGAGAGAAGAUGGAAAGACGGUUUCGGCUGUCACUUAUAGAUGGGCCCGCGGCGCAUUAGCUAGUUGGUGAGGGAAUGGCUCACCAAGGCGACGAUGCGUAGCCCACCUGAGAGGGUGAUCGGCCACACUGGGACUGAGACACGCCCAAACUCCUACGGGAGGCAGCAGUAGGGAAUCUUCCGCAAUGGACGAAAGUCUGACGGAACAACGCCGCGUGAACGAAAAAGCCUUCGGGUCGUAAAGUUCUGUUGUUAGGGAGAACAAGUACCAGAGUAACUGCUGGUACCUUGACGGUACCUAACCAAAAGCCACGGCUAACUACGUGCCACCAGCCCGGUAUACGUAGGUGGCAAGCGUUGUCCGGAAUUUUGGGCGUAAACCCCCCCAGGGGUUCCUUAAGCUGAAGUGAAACCCCCGGCUCACCCUGGAGGGCAUUGGAACUGGGGAACUUGAUGCAAAAAAGAAAGGGGAAUUCCAGGGUACCGGGAAAUGCUAAAAAUUUGAGGAAACCCAUGGGGAAGG